UGCAAGGAUCUUGGACACGCAAGGGUGU
This 28-nucleotide non-coding RNA is filed under the name Mus musculus (house mouse). Lineage: Eukaryota; Metazoa; Chordata; Mammalia; Rodentia; Muridae. The record is from RNAcentral.